Molecule: long non-coding RNA, 485 nt
Organism: Quercus robur (English oak)
Lineage: Eukaryota; Viridiplantae; Streptophyta; Magnoliopsida; Fagales; Fagaceae
Exons: 2
Source: RefSeq, a predicted model, not a curated record
CAUGCUCAUAUCUCUUUGUCCUUUUCGUAACUUUACUUAUUGAAGAAACCAGAAAUGAUAGCCACAAAAUAUCCUCAUUGCCUUAAUUAAAGAGAUUCACGCUUUGGCCAACCUUGCAAAGUAAAAGUUGGUUGAGUUCGUUUACUGGCAAUGAGCCAAUUACCAACGGUUUUGUCCAGCAAAAGCAAUAAAAGACAACAAUAAAUCAUGGGUUUCAACUCCAAUACAUCUUUUGAAAGAAAAAAGAAGAAAAAGUUUAACUAAUGAAUCCAGAGAGAGACCUGCAGUCUCUUGCCACCGUAUCCGUAUGCCACCUGCCACUUUCAGACUGCCACCACCCUAUGGAAGCAUCCUUCCGAAGCAGCGAUCCAAUCUGACCUCAAUAUAGUGAACGAAGGCACCUAUAUCACAUCCAAUUGUAUCUUAAGCUUCACUACUCCCAUUUGCUCUUUAAUCAACCACAUUAAUAAAGGUUUGGUUGAUUU